This 527-nucleotide unclassified non-coding RNA is filed under the name Amphimedon queenslandica. RNAcentral's name for it is "uncharacterized LOC109581069, transcript variant X1". The record is from RNAcentral. Lineage: Eukaryota; Metazoa; Porifera; Demospongiae; Haplosclerida; Niphatidae.
ACGAGCAGCUUUGCUUUCUUUACUCCUGUGCUACUCUACUCUACUGAUGUGCUGUGCAUGCGCUACUCAAUACUGCGCAUGCGCAUUAAUUUUCACCAGCCCGGUUACGACUCAGUGGAAACGAGUAGAAAUGAGUCUUAGAAAGCUGAUAAAAGACACCCAGAAGAAGACAAAUCCUUCUUACUUUUUGAAAUACUUUAAGCAAGACGAUACUUAUUCUAUUGUGAAAGCAAACUGUGUAGAAGUUGAGCAGCUGGAAGCUGGUACCUCCUGCAGAGUAAGGGAUGGAAAGGACUUUCAUGAUGGCACAAUAGUCACCUUUGGAGAUAAGAAAGAUGUAAGUAAUGCAGCAGGUGAUAUUAUUGAGAAGAUUGAGAAAGAGUCAGCGGAGAAUAUGGAGAAAGAGUCAGCCAAGAAUAUGGAGAAACAGUCAGCUGAGAGUAUGAAGAAUGAGUCAGACUACAAAGCGUGGCACAAUAAAAAGGAAAGCUAAGAAAAGUACCACCGAAUAAAGAAACCUAAAAUAG